AUUGAGCGCUGGCGGCAGGCCUAACACAUGCAAGUCGAACGGUAGCACAGAGAGCUUGCUCUCGGGUGAUGAGUGGCGGACGGGUGAGUAAUGUCUGGGAAACUGCCCGAUGGAGGGGGAUAACUACUGGAAACGGUAGCUAAUACCGCAUAACGUCGCAAGACCAAAGUGGGGGACCUUCGGGCCUCACACCAUCGGAUGUGCCCAGAUGGGAUUAGCUAGUAGGUGGGGUAAUGGCUCACCUAGGCGACGAUCCCUAGCCGGUCUGAGAGGAUGACCAGCCACACUGGAACUGAGACACGGUCCAGACUCCUACGGGAGGCAGCAGUGGGGAAUAUUGCACAAUGGGCGCAAGCCUGAUGCAGCCAUGCCGCGUGUAUGAAGAAGGCCUUCGGGUUGUAAAGUACUUUCAGCGGGGAGGAAGGCGGUGGAGUUAAUAACUUCACCGAUUGACGUUACCCGCAGAAGAAGCACCGGCUAACUCCGUGCCAGCAGCCGCAGUAA
RNAcentral lists this ribosomal RNA (504 nucleotides) under uncultured bacterium. RNAcentral's name for it is "partial 16S ribosomal RNA". It matches the Rfam family "Bacterial small subunit ribosomal RNA", at positions 30 to 523 of the family's 1533-position model. The record is from RNAcentral.